RNAcentral lists this long non-coding RNA (2041 nucleotides) under Homo sapiens (human). RNAcentral's name for it is "HSALNT0107825". Lineage: Eukaryota; Metazoa; Chordata; Mammalia; Primates; Hominidae. The record is from RNAcentral.
AGCAGCAGCAACCCGGUCAGGUCCCCUUUUGUGCUGUGGAAGCUUUGUUCUUUCUCUGUUUGCAAUAAAUCUUACUGCUGCUCACUCUUUGGGUCUACGCCGCCUUUAUGAGCUAUAACACUCACCGUGAAGGUCUGCAUCUUCACUCCUGAAGCCAGUGAGACUACGAACAAACGCAUUGGGAGGGACGAACAAACGCAUUGGGAGGGACCAACAACUCCGGACAUGAGGAACAAACAACUCCAGAUGCGCUGUCUUUAAGAGCUGUAACACUCACAGCAAAGGUCUGCGCCUCACUUCUUAAGUCAGUGAGACCACAAACCCACCAGAAGGAAGAAACUCCGGACGCAUCUGAACAUCUGAAAGCACAAACUCUGGACACACCAUCUUUAAGAACUGUAACACUCACCGCGAGGGUCCGCAGCUUCAUUCUGGAAGUCAGCAAGACCAAGAACCCAUUAUUCCGGACACAAAGGGGCAGCUGCUGUAGCUGUGUCACCUGACAAGCAACCAGCGCCCCCGCUGCACAAAGCAGCAGCAGCAGCAGUUUCAGCACAGCCCAGAAACGAGUGUGCUUCCGGGGGAGUGGCUUGCAGGGGCAGGAUUCGGACUUAGAUUUGGGGGCCUAAUUUGUUUCCUUGCAAUCACCUGCCACCUUGGCCAGGCCGGGAUCCAGAGGUUAUUCUUCAGGUCCAGCCACUUCAGGUUCUUCAGCUGAGCAAAGCUGACGACAAGGUGACCAGCCUGUUGUUGAGGAGAGCCAGGUGCUGGAGGUUGACCAAACGGCCCAAGUCUGCUGUUCCAGGGAGAAGAUGUCCAUCUAUAAGAAAGUGGUCCCUCAGCAGACACUGAAUCUGCUGGUGUCCUGAUCUUGAAUAUACCAGCCUCCAGAACUGUAACACAUGCAUGGGUGCAAAACAUGCUUCUGUGUCAUCUCACAUAGUGUGGUCAACAGAGAACACCUGGGCAGAAGAUGAGAGGCUCCUGGGGACUGGUCUGAGACAAGGUGCUGUAAAAGAAAACCUAUAUUAAAGUGGUUGGAAGUGCACAGACUGGUUGCUUCACCUGCAGCCAGAAUGCAAGACAGGUGCAAGUCAUCCCUGAGGAAGUAGUGACCAGCUGUGGAUGCUACGCUGAGGCCCUUCUUUAAGAGUGAUCUGAUGGCACUGGAUGUCUGCUGAGGCUUGUGUCUAGAAGGAAUGAAAGGAUGUGCCAACAACAGCAGUUGUCUCCUCGUUUUCAAAGCUCAGGCCUCAUGGUAUCCCCUUCUCUUGGUUCUGUUUACUAAAACAUAUCAGUGCCUGACUAUGCCUGAAUGAUCCAUCUUCCUUAAGGCUGCUACACCAUAACUAGGAGCUUUAAAAAAAAGGGGGGGGCAUUUACUCUCUGAGGCACUCAAAAAAGCACAUGCUUUUAAUUGAGGGAUGGGGGUGACAAUGGAUCAUUCUGUUGAUUUUAACUAUCUCAUAUUUGUUAACAGCAUCAUUUCCAUGGAUAGCUUUCUGAAAGACUGCCUAUCCACUUAGAGGUGAGGAGAAGUAAUAGGGGAGGAAACCCUGCCGAGCUGCAAAAAGUUCUAAAUCCAGUCCUUUAAUUAUCUUGCUUAAAAUUCUUUAUUGGCUCUUUGAUACCCUCAGAAUAAAGCAAACUGCUUAAACAUGACUUACAAAGUAAUUGCUAUAGUUUGAAUAUUGUCCCCCAAAUCACAUGUUGAAAUUGAUUCCUAGUGUCAGAGGCGGGGACUGUGAGAGGUGUUGGGGUCAUGGGGCAUAUCUCUCAUGAAUAGAUUAAUGCUCUGUCAGCAUGGGGUGGGGUUGUGUGAGUUCUCACUCUUAUUAGUUCCCAAAGAGUUGGUUAUUCAAAAAGAGCCUGGCAUCUCCCUCCUUUUUGUCUCUUGCCUCCUCUCUCACGUGUGAUCUCUGUGCAUGUGCCUUUCCGUUGCCUUCCCCAUGAGUGGAAGUGGCCUGAAGCCAAUGCUGGUGCCAUGCUUCCUGUACAGUCUGCAGAACUAUGAGCCAAAUAAACCUAUUUUCUUUAUAAA